Molecule: ribosomal RNA, 231 nt
Filed under: uncultured bacterium
Lineage: Bacteria
Description: partial 16S ribosomal RNA
Rfam family: Bacterial small subunit ribosomal RNA
Source: RNAcentral
CCUAGCCUUGGAGUGGGGAAUAACAGCUGGAAACAGCUGCUAAUACCGCAUAAUAUGUCUGAACCGCAUGGCUCUGGACAUCAAAGAUUUAUCGCUCUGAGAUGGACUCGCGUCUGAUUAGCUAGUUGGUGGGGCAACGGCCCACCAAGGCGACGAUCAGUAGCCGGACUGAGAGGUUGGCCGGCCACAUUGGGACUGAGACACGGCCCAGACUCCUACGGGAGGCAGCAG